GCAACAAAUGGCUUGUUUGUAAUGGAUUUUAUUGUUUUUGUCUCGCCGCACGCCGGUGUUCUGACCGGGACACACAUCACAGUAUGGUGAGGGCCGUAACAUUUCCGUCACACGCUUGAGGCAUUCAGCCAAUGACAACACACCUCGCUUUUCAGAACGAUGAGAUUUUUAAAAAUCUACGUUUCAGAAAGGCGGGGCAUAGAGGAGAAACAAUAAUGUACAGUAUGUGGAAAAUAAUGUUUUGUUUUUUUUUUACCUUAAACCGCAUGAACACAUUUAAUAAAACCAAAUACACAAAAUAAUGUUCUUUUUAGCAACAUCAUAUGACCCCUUUAACAGUGUUGUUCAAUAAAACCAUGCACUUGGUUGUGAUACUUUAUUUGAGGCCAGUUAUCAUUGCCUCGUUGUUACUUUAUAUAUAAAUAUAGUCAUAUUAAAGCCUGUUUUUCCACUUAGUUCUAUUUGUAUUACUAAAACAUAUAUCAGAUUACUCACUUGUCAAAAUAAUCAGAUUACUUGAUUAGCAAAAUAAUCAUUAGUUAAGGCCUAGAUUAGUUAAAACACUUCAAAAUACAACUGCCUUGUUUUACUUUUUGUCAAGUCAAGUCAAGUCAAGUUACUUUUAUUGUCACAUCAUCACCACAGCACAUGUGCCUUGGUGAGUGGAAUUCUUGGGAGCAUGCUCCAGAAAUUGCAGAAACAGUUAACAUAUAACCAUACAGACUUCAACAGGUGAAAAUGUGCAAUAUGCACAUACAUAUAGUCAGUACACACAGUGUACUAUUAGACAUACUUACAGUUAGCACUACACAUUUUACGCAAUAUGUACAUACAUACAGUUAGCACUACACAUUAUACACUAUACACAGAAUGUACACAUUGUACAUUAUGUAAACAUAUAUACGCAUGAAAAUAUGCUAAGGUGCAACAGAGUGUACGUGGGCUGGAUACAGAAUGUCAUGGAUGUGCAUCGGAUGGUUUCCAGUGGUAGCAGGUAGAUUAUUGUAUUAAAUGCAGUGUGUAUGUAUAGUUCGGUGUUGAACUGUUAAAGUUAAAGUGCAGUGUGUGGCAUACCAUAUUUUGGGAGUAUGCUGUAGGGUAUAUUAGUUCUGACUGUUCAUUAGUCUGAUAGCCUGAGGGAAAAAGCUAUCCCUCAGUCACCUAGUGCGGGAUCGCAUACUGUGGAGACGUUUUCCUGAGCGCAGCAGAGAGAGCAGUCUGUGGGACGGAUGGCUGGAGUCACUGAUGAUCCUCCGGGAUUUCCUUAUACACCGCCUGGUGUAGAUGUCCUGGAGGGAGGGAAGCUCACCUCCAACAAUGUGGAUGGCAGUUUCAGAGCUUUGCGGUUGCCAGCGGUGCUGUUUCCAAACCAGGUGAGAUCCUCACUGAUGUUAAUGUUGAGGAACUUGAAGCUGCUUACCCACUCCACAGGUGUCUUGUCGAUGGUGAUGGGUUUGUGUUCUCUGCUCUGUCUCCUGAAAUCCACCACCAGCUCCUUGGUCUUGUCGAUGCUGAGUGAGAGGUGGCUCUCCUGACACCAUUUAGUCAGGGUGCUCACCUCCUCUCUGUAGGCCGUCUCAUCAUUGUCGGUGAUCAGGCCUAUCACCGUUGUGUCAUCAGCGAAUUUGACGAUGACAUUGGAGCUGUGUUGGAGGCUGUACAGUCAUGUGUGUACAGGGAGUACAGGAGCGGGCUGAGGACACAGCCCUGAGGAGCACCAGUGUUGAGGGUCAGCGGGGAUGAUGUGUAGUUGCCCAUUCUGACUGUCAGGAAGUCCAGGAUCCAGCUGCACAGAGAUCUGUUUAGUCCCAGAGUCUGGAGCUUGGCAACAAGUGUGGCAGGCACUAUGGUGUUAAAUGCUGAGCUUUAGUCCACAAACAGCAUUCUCACAUAGGUGUUCUUAUUUUCCAGGUGGGAGAGAGCAGUGUGUAGGGUGAAAGCAAUAGCAUCGUCUGUAGAACGGUUGCUGCGAUAUGCAAAUUGUAGCGGAUCCAAUGAGGCAGGCAGAAAAGAGCAGAUGUAAUCUCUGACGAGUCUCUCAAAACACUUACUGAAGAUGGUUGUGAGAGCAACGGGCCUCCAGUUAUUCAAGCAUGUGAUUUUGUUUUUCUUUGGUAUGGGCACAAUGGUGGAUUUUUUGAAGCAUGAGGGAACCACAGACAGACAGAGGGAGAGGUUGAAAAUGUCUGUGAAAACAUCAGCUAGUUGGAAUGUACAUGCUCGGAUCACACGGCCUGGGAUGCCAUCAGGACCCGCAGCCUUGCGGAUAUUCACCCGUCGGAAGGAUCGGGUUACAUCCGCGAAAGAGACAGAGAGAGCACUCAAAUCUUCUGCAGCAGCUGCGGGAGCGCUCU
This is a long non-coding RNA of Cyprinus carpio carpio, 2354 nucleotides long. The record is from Ensembl. NCBI's taxonomy places the organism in Eukaryota, Metazoa, Chordata, Actinopteri, Cypriniformes, Cyprinidae.